UUAUUAUUACUACUACUCAUGGCAAGGCUCUAUGAACGAACGAGUGGGCAUGACGACUUACCUAGGUACUCAUGAUCUCUCCCCCAAGUUUCAACGAAGCUCAGUACUGCUGGUCGGGAUCUGAGUACGACUGCUGGGGGUAGUAGGUACCAUGGUUCCAAUCAUAAUUAAUGGAUGAUAACAUCCAUCAACUCUCCUGCGUGAGGCUGGUGUUGUGCUCAAGGUUGUGACCCAUCUCUUGCUGGCGUAACUCCAAGGCAUUCAUCCGAGUAGUGAGGUCUGACAGUCCCCGUGUGAGCGGGUUGUCGAACUUGAAGAGAACCGACGCUGACGGACCAACCUGUGGCCCUGAUGGACUGACCUGUGGACCAUGAGAAGUCUGCAAACCUGGUGGGUAGUAGAAUCCCUGAUCGUGACCGUACCCCAUGCAGCCCUCAGCCUGAUACGAACUCUGGCCACCCUGGGCGUAGUACCCAUAUGCCUCCUCGAAGCUCAUGUGUUCUGUGGCUGGGUUUGGCUGUGUAGAGGUGUUCGGUGAAGUUUUGGCCUGGCGAGAAGUUCUUGCCUGGCGGGAGGUGCCUGCCUGAUGGGAAGUUCCUGCUUGCCUUGAUGUGCCUGCAUCGGCCAACUAGGCAUCAUGCCAAGUCCUGCCUCGUGUCAUGGGGCUAGCCGUGCUGUGACGUGCGGGUUCUUUCUUUUCCAUCUGGAGGGUCAGGAAUUUCAAGGAAUAGAGAGAGAGCUUCGGGCAAGGGAGCUCGAACUCUUUGUCAUACUCCGAAUAGCAUAUAAAGACAGAGUUCCCGGGACCCUCACGCAUCAUGUGAGCAUGAAUGAAGUGGUCCAGACCGACAAUGGUUCGGUACUCCUCCGUCAAGGACAGAUAGGUAACCUGAGCAUUCUCUAGAACACCGACAUAUCGUGCAAUGUGCGUAACCAGAGAGGUCAUGUUGAUGGGAGACUUGCUCAUGAUCAUUUUCUGCCAGUGUGACACCAUGCCCAUGACGGAUGAGUAGCGAAUUUUCUUUGUCAUGGCAUAAAGGCACAUGAGCUCUGAGGAGCUGCAAAUUAAGCCUGAGGUCUGCUCGGGAGAACACUACCAUGGCGAGGUAUUUUGCAAGAAUUCUCAGAGUUGGAUUAUGAAUGGAUACAAUGUUGUUCUUACUGCUAAUAGUUUCAUCUGAUAUUGCACUCCACCAAGUACUACGGUCAUAAUCAUGUUCAUUUGCUAGCACAGAGGGGUCUAGGAUGCAUUUCUUG
Long non-coding RNA from Panicum virgatum (switchgrass), 1257 nucleotides. RefSeq lists it as uncharacterized. The record is from RefSeq and is a predicted model, not a curated record. Lineage: Eukaryota; Viridiplantae; Streptophyta; Magnoliopsida; Poales; Poaceae. The transcript has 2 exons.